UGGGGAAUAUUGGACAAUGGGCGAAAGCCUGAUCCAGCCAUGCCGCGUGUGUGAAGAAGGUCUUCGGAUUGUAAAGCACUUUAAGUUGGGAGGAAGGGCAGUAAGCGAAUACCUUGCUGUUUUGACGUUACCGACAGAAUAAGCACCGGCUAACUCUGUGCCAGCAGCCGCGGUAAUACAGAGGGUGCAAGCGUUAAUCGGAAUUACUGGGCGUAAAGCGCGCGUAGGUGGUUCGUUAAGUUGAAUGUGAAAGCCCCGGGCUCAACCUGGGAACUGCAUCCAAAACUGGCGAGCUAGAGUAGGGCAGAGGGUAGUGGAAUUUCCUGUGUAGCGGUGAAAUGAGUAGAUAUGGGAAGGAACACCAGUGGCGAAGGCGACCACCUGGGCUCAUACUGACACUGAGGUGCGAAAGCGUGGGGAGCAAACAGG
RNAcentral lists this ribosomal RNA (429 nucleotides) under Pseudomonadota bacterium. RNAcentral's name for it is "Proteobacteria bacterium partial 16S ribosomal RNA". It matches the Rfam family "Bacterial small subunit ribosomal RNA", at positions 355 to 776 of the family's 1533-position model. The record is from RNAcentral. Lineage: Bacteria; Pseudomonadati; Pseudomonadota.